GGAGCCGGCCGGGCGGCCGCGGUCGGCCUUCGGGCCGGUCGAGGAAAGUCCGGGCUCCGCAGGGCAGGGUGCUGGGGAAACCCAGGCGGGGGUGACCUCGCGGAAAGCGCCACAGAGAACAGACCGCCCGCGCGAGCGGGCAAGGGUGAAACGGUGAGGUAAGAGCUCACCAGCGGAUCGGGUGACCGGUCCGGCUCGGCAAGCCCCACCCGGAGCAAGGCCAAGCAGGGAGCGCUCGAGGGUGGCCCGCCCGAGCUCCCGGGUAGGCCGCACGUGCCGCGUCCCUCGGGACGCGCCGGGGCGCCGACGCGACCUCGGUCGCGGGCGCUCAGAGAGAUGGCCGCCGCCGGCCCGAGAGGGCCGGUACAGAACCCGGCUUACAGGCCGACUCCUCCG
RNAcentral lists this RNase P RNA (396 nucleotides) under Actinomycetota bacterium. RNAcentral describes it as "Actinobacteria bacterium (sediment metagenome) RNase P RNA component class A". It matches the Rfam family "Bacterial RNase P class A". From Rfam's summary of the family: Ribonuclease P (RNase P) is a ubiquitous endoribonuclease, found in archaea, bacteria and eukarya as well as chloroplasts and mitochondria. Its best characterised activity is the generation of mature 5'-ends of tRNAs by cleaving the 5'-leader elements of precursor-tRNAs. Cellular RNase Ps are ribonucleoproteins. Lineage: Bacteria; Bacillati; Actinomycetota. The record is from RNAcentral.